RNAcentral lists this ribosomal RNA (756 nucleotides) under uncultured Pandoraea sp. RNAcentral's name for it is "bacterial SSU rRNA". It matches the Rfam family "Bacterial small subunit ribosomal RNA", at positions 28 to 776 of the family's 1533-position model. The record is from RNAcentral. Lineage: Bacteria; Pseudomonadati; Pseudomonadota; Betaproteobacteria; Burkholderiales; Burkholderiaceae.
AUUGAACGCUGGCGGCAUGCCUUACACAUGCAAGUCGAACGGCAGCACGGGUGCUUGCACCUGGUGGCGAGUGGCGAACGGGUGAGUAAUACAUCGGAAUGUACCUUGUAGUGGGGGAUAGCUCGGCGAAAGCCGGAUUAAUACCGCAUACGCUCUGAGGAGGAAAGCGGGGGACCUUCGGGCCUCGCGCUACAAGAGCAGCCGAUGUCAGAUUAGCUAGUUGGUGGGGUAAAAGCUCACCAAGGCGACGAUCUGUAGCUGGUCUGAGAGGACGACCAGCCACACUGGGACUGAGACACGGCCCAGACUCCUACGGGAGGCAGCAGUGGGGAAUUUUGGACAAUGGGCGAAAGCCUGAUCCAGCAAUGCCGCGUGUGUGAAGAAGGCCUUCGGGUUGUAAGGCACUUUUGUCCGGAAAGAAAUCCUUUGGGUUAAUACCUCGGGGGGAUGACGGUACCGGAAGAAUAAGCACCGGCUAACUACGUGCCAGCAGCCGCGGUAAUACGUAGGGUGCAAGCGUUAAUCGGAAUUACUGGGCGUAAAGCGUGCGCAGGCGGUUUUGUAAGACGGAUGUGAAAUCCCCGGGCUUAACCUGGGAACUGCAUUCGUGACUGCAAGGCUAGAGUAUGGCAGAGGGGGGUAGAAUUCCACGUGUAGCAGUGAAAUGCGUAGAGAUGUGGAGGAAUACCGAUGGCGAAGGCAGCUCCCUGGGCCAAUACUGACGCUCAUGCACGAAAGCGUGGGGGAGCAAACAGG